Molecule: non-coding RNA, 1535 nt
Organism: Schizosaccharomyces pombe (fission yeast)
Lineage: Eukaryota; Fungi; Ascomycota; Schizosaccharomycetes; Schizosaccharomycetales; Schizosaccharomycetaceae
Source: the annotation of a GenBank genome assembly
AUUGCAUGGUAACAAGAUUACCAAACCACUGAUGGGCUAAUUCGUGUUGUACAACUUCGGCUACACGUUCAAUUACAGUAGCAGCGGAAUCCUCAGAAACCAAGAUGGCAGCAAGUCUGUAGGUAACUAAACCCCAAUUUUCCAUAGCACCUGCUUCAAAAUCAGGAAUAGCAACCAUAUCGCAUUUGGGUAAAGGAUAUGGCUCGCCAAAUACACCAGAGAAGAAGUCUAAGGUCUUAGCACCUAAUUCCGCAGCAAAUUUACCCUGUUCGGAAAACCCAGGUGUAGUAUAAACACGAACAGGAAGACGGGGGCAAUGCUUGCCAGGGGUGAAAUACUCAACGUAUUCGAGUUCGGCAACAAUCCAAGCCAAAAGGUAAGUGGACAUUCGGCAAGUUUCGGCAAAACGGGCAGUUUUCAAACCAUCCUUGACAGUUUCCUCAACGGCAUUCAUGUUACUAAGGAUAGUAUAGUUUUCCUUAGCAGUGAUAUCGAUGGUAAAGGUAGCUUUCAAAGCAGGUUCAUCCCAGCAGGGGAAAGCACGACGAGCACUAGUAGGCUCCAUCUGGGUCGUGGCAAGAUACUUGGUAUUACCAUCGCUGUCAACGUAACUAGAGCGGUAGAAACCCUCCAUGCCACUGGAAAUACGGGCAGUGAAAGGCAACGUCAAAACAGCAACAGAGUUGGCUGGGACAGUGGAGGGAAAUUGAAGAACGAUACGCUCAUCCCCAUAAGAGACUUCGCUGGCCCAGACGGUUUGGCUGCCCCAUUCUAACGCAGCCGUCAAAAUACGAAGGUUAAUGCCAUGUAGAGUAAUACUGUUGCUGUCCUCAAGUACAUCCAAGGUAACGACGACUUUACCGCCGUAAGUGAACGUCUCCAAAUCUGGAUAUAAACUCAAAUCAUAGUGGAUGGGUUUAACAUUUUUUGGAAGCAAAUUCCGAUUUUUAUCGUCUUCCUUAGAAGUAGAUUUAGGAAUGGUGACUUGCAUUUUUACAAAAGAAAAAUAACGCUGAAAAUCAAUACAGCUAAACUAGCCAGAGCAAUAAUGAAGCUGAAUAGAGCAAAUGUGAUACGAUAGUGGGAAAGGUGAAGGAAGAAUUUGCCAACUAAUUAAAUAAUGGUACAAAAACCGUAGGAAGAUGGAAUUACGAACGAUGAGUCAGUUAGUUAGAAAAAGUAUCGAUACGAACAAACAAACAGCCGAUAACGAUCGAUAGAGUAAUUCAACAGACUCCUUAAUUAAUCUUAAAAAACCUAACGUUAAUUUUAAAUUUUAAUAGUCAAAGAAAUGUAGAUGUCGUUUUCCACGCUGUGGAAAUGAGAACGAUGGGAAACGGGAUGGAACAGAUGAUAAUUUGUCCAACAACGCUGAAAAGCACACGAUUACACACUUAAACGUAAUGAUAUUUUCCAAGCAACAAACGAAAAACGUAAAGACACUAAACGACGAAAAGAUGUAAUAGGUCUAAGCUGCCAAUGAAGAUGGUUAAGUAGGUAGUUGGUGUAAGUAGAAGGUUGGUGAAAGCACUAUG